RNAcentral lists this ribosomal RNA (204 nucleotides) under uncultured bacterium. RNAcentral's name for it is "partial 16S ribosomal RNA". It matches the Rfam family "Bacterial small subunit ribosomal RNA", at positions 328 to 544 of the family's 1533-position model. The record is from RNAcentral.
ACGCUCGACACCUACGGGAGCCAGCAGUGGGGAAUAUUGCACAAUGGGGGAAACCCUGAUGCAGCGACGCCGCGUGGAGGAAGAAGGUCUUCGGAUUGUAAACUCCUGUUGUUGGGGAAAAAGAGGAUGGUACCCAACAAGGAAGUGACGGCUAACUACGUGCCAGANCCGCCGGUAAGUACUGAGCGGGCGUGGCGAAGGACG